UACGGAGGGUGCAAGCGUUAUCCGGAUUCACUGGGUUUAAAGGGUGCGUAGGUGGGCAGGUAAGUCAGUGGUGAAAUCUCCGGGCUUAACCCGGAAACUGCCAUUGAUACUAUCAGUCUUGAAUACCGUGGAGGUAAGCGGAAUAUGUCAUGUAGCGGUGAAAUGCUUAGAUAUGACAUAGAACACCAAUUGCGAAGGCAGCUUACUACCCGAAUAUUGACACUGAGGCACGAAAGCGUGGGGAGCGAACGGG
RNAcentral lists this ribosomal RNA (253 nucleotides) under uncultured bacterium. RNAcentral's name for it is "partial 16S ribosomal RNA". It matches the Rfam family "Bacterial small subunit ribosomal RNA", at positions 524 to 776 of the family's 1533-position model. The record is from RNAcentral.